This 492-nucleotide ribosomal RNA is filed under the name uncultured bacterium. RNAcentral's name for it is "partial 16S ribosomal RNA". It matches the Rfam family "Bacterial small subunit ribosomal RNA", at positions 29 to 507 of the family's 1533-position model. The record is from RNAcentral.
AGUGAACGCUGGCGGUAGGCCUAACACAUGCAAGUCGAACGGCAGCACAGUAAGAGCUUGCUCUUACGGGUGGCGAGUGGCGUACGGGUGAGGAAUACAUCGGAAUCUACUUUUUCGUGGGGGAUAACGUAGGGAAACUUACGCUAAUACCGCAUACGACCUACGGGUGAAAGCAGGGGAUCUUCGGACCUUGCGCGAUUGAAUGAGCCGAUGUCGGAUUAGCUAGUUGGCGGGGUAAAGGCCCACCAAGGCGACGAUCCGUAGCUGGUCUGAGAGGAUGAUCAGCCACACUGGAACUGAGACACGGUCCAGACUCCUACGGGAGGCAGCAGUGGGGAAUAUUGGACAAUGGGCGCAAGCCUGAUCCAGCUAUACCGCGUGGGUGAAGAAGGCCUUCGGGUUGUAAAGCCCUUUUGUUGGGAAAGAAAAGCAGCAGGUUAAUACCCCGCUGUUCUGACGGUACCCAAAGAAUAAGCACCGGCUAACUUCGUG